CACCUCUAGCAUUACCAGUAUUAGAGGCACCGCCUGCCCGGUGACAUGUGUUUAACGGCCGCGGUACCCUGACCGUGCAAAGGUAGCAUAAUCACUUGUUCUUUAAAUGAGGACUUGUAUGAAUGGCUCCACGAGGGUUCGACUGUCUCUUACUUUUAACCAGUGAAAUUGACCUGCCCGUGAAGAGGCGGGCAUAACAUAACAAGACGAGAAGACCCUAUGGAGCUUCAAUCUACCAGUGCAAAUAACAUAUAACAAGCCCACAGGCCCUAAUUCACCAAACCUGCACUGAAGAUUUCGGUUGGGGCGACCUCGGAGUAUAACCCAACCUCCGAGAAACACAUGUUAAGACUUCACAAGUCAAAACAAACUUCCACACACAAUUGAUCCAAUAACUUGACCAACGGAACAAGUUACCCUAGGGAUAACAGCGCAAUCCUGUUCUAGAGUCCAUAUCAACGACAGGGUUUACGACCUCGAUGUUGGAUCAGGACAUCCCAAUGGUGCAGCCGCUAUUAAAGGUUCGUUUGUUCAACGAUUAAAGUCCU
RNAcentral lists this ribosomal RNA (548 nucleotides) under Pongo pygmaeus (Bornean orangutan). Its description in RNAcentral is "partial 16S ribosomal RNA". It matches the Rfam family "Bacterial large subunit ribosomal RNA", at positions 1816 to 2597 of the family's 2925-position model. Lineage: Eukaryota; Metazoa; Chordata; Mammalia; Primates; Hominidae. The record is from RNAcentral.